GACGAACGCUGGCGGCGUGCUUAACACAUGCAAGUCGAACGGAAAGGCCCUGCUUUUGUGGGGUGCUCGAUUGGCGAACGGGUGAGUAACACGUGAGUAACCUGCCCUUGACUUUGGGAUAACUUCAGGAAACUGGGGCUAAUACCGGAUAGGAGCUCCUGCUGCAUGGUGGGGGUUGGAAAGUUUCGGCGGUUGGGGAUGGACUCGCGGCUUAUCAGCUUGUUGGUGGGGUAGUGGCUUACCAAGGCUUUGACGGGUAGCCGGCCUGAGAGGGUGACCGGCCACAUUGGGCCUGGGAUACCGCCCAGAGGCAUACGGGAGGCAGGAGUGGAGAAUAUUGCACACAGCGCGGAGGCCGGAAGCAGCAACGCCGCGUGCGGGAUGUCGGCCUUCGGUUGUAAACCGCUUUCGCCUGUGACGAAGCGUGAGUGACGGUAAUGGGUAAAGAAGCACCGGCUAACUACGUG
RNAcentral lists this ribosomal RNA (467 nucleotides) under uncultured bacterium. Its description in RNAcentral is "partial 16S ribosomal RNA". It matches the Rfam family "Bacterial small subunit ribosomal RNA", at positions 28 to 507 of the family's 1533-position model. The record is from RNAcentral.